Molecule: ribosomal RNA, 254 nt
Filed under: uncultured bacterium
Lineage: Bacteria
Description: partial 16S ribosomal RNA
Rfam family: Bacterial small subunit ribosomal RNA
Source: RNAcentral
GACGAACCGUGCGAACGUUAUUCGGAAUCACUGGGCUUAAAGCGCGUGUAGGCGGGAGGGCACGUCCGUCGCUGAAAUCCCCCGGCUCAACCGGGGAACGGGCACGGAUACGACCUUCCUGGAGGGGCGUAGGGGGACCUGGAACUUCCGGUGGAGCGGUGAAAUGCGUUGAGAUCGGAAGGAACGCCCGUGGCGAAAGCGACUUCCUGGACCAAUACUGACGCUCAUGUGCGAAAGCGUGGGGAGCAAACAGG